UUACCGGAACCGGAAGCGAACCCCCAACUCCCCCUCCCCCCCCCACUCCCGGUUUCCCGCCGAGUACCGUUUUCGGGCGGUUGAUUUUCCCCCCGAUCCCCAUGGCGCACGUGCAACUUCCGGUCGGGCCCACUUCCGGCUCCUCCGACUUCCGGCCACACCCCUUCCGCUGUGCGCCACGAGGCUCUCCCCCUCACUUCCGCUCCUCGCCCCCUUCGUCCCGCCCUUCCUCUCUCCCUAUUGGUUUCCCGUCUCCAUCGCCGCGCGUGAUUGGCUCCCUUCCGGACACAGCCGCUUUUGAUUGGCCGAGCGGGGCAGAAAAGGCGCCGCGUGGAAGCGGGGCGGCCAUUUUGCGGCGGAGCGGCGAACGGAGCGGAGGGUCUGCCAAUGGACGGCAACGAAGACGAGAGGUAGUGCUGUGCCCCAUAGAGUGCUCUGCCCCAUAGCGUGCUGUGCCCCAUAGCGACGUAGCACUCUGCCCCAUAGCGACGUGUGGGGCUGCCCCAUAGAGUGCUGUGCCCCAUAGCGACGUGUGGGGCUGCCCCAUAGAGCGCUGU
RNAcentral lists this long non-coding RNA (557 nucleotides) under Gallus gallus (chicken). Its description in RNAcentral is "lncRNA (ENSGALG00010000763.1)". Lineage: Eukaryota; Metazoa; Chordata; Aves; Galliformes; Phasianidae. The record is from RNAcentral.